This 234-nucleotide ribosomal RNA is filed under the name uncultured bacterium. RNAcentral's name for it is "partial 16S ribosomal RNA". It matches the Rfam family "Bacterial small subunit ribosomal RNA", at positions 15 to 236 of the family's 1533-position model. The record is from RNAcentral.
GAUCAUGGCUCAGGAUGAACGCUAGCUACAGGCUUAACACAUGCAAGUCGAGGGGAAACGACAUCGAAAGCUUGCUUUUGAUGGGCGUCGACCGGCGCACGGGUGAGUAACGCGUAUCCAACCUGCCCACCACUUGGGGAUUUAACCUUGCGAAAGUAAGACUAAUACCCAAUGACAUCCCACGAAGACAUCUGAAUGGGAUUAAAGAUUUAUCGGUGAUGGAUGGGGAUGCGU